UGGGGAAUAUUGGACAAUGGGCGAAAGCCUGAUCCAGCCAUGCCGCGUGUGUGAAGAAGGUCUUCGGAUUGUAAAGCACUUUAAGUUGGGAGGAAGGGCAUUAACCUAAUACGUUAGUGUUUUGACGUUACCGACAGAAUAAGCACCGGCUAACUCUGUGCCAGCAGCCGCGGUAAUACAGAGGGUGCAAGCGUUAAUCGGAAUUACUGGGCGUAAAGCGCGCGUUGGUGGUUUGUUAAGUUGGAUGUGAAAUCCCCGGGCUCAACGUGGGAACUGCAUUCAAAACUGACUGACUAGAGUAUGGUAGAGGGUGGUGGAAUUUCCUGUGUAGCGGUGAAAUGCGUAGAUAUAGGAAGGAACACCAGUGGCGAAGGCGACCACCUGGACUAAUACUGACACUGAGGUGCGAAAGCGUGGGGAGCAAACA
RNAcentral lists this ribosomal RNA (427 nucleotides) under uncultured bacterium. Its description in RNAcentral is "partial 16S ribosomal RNA". It matches the Rfam family "Bacterial small subunit ribosomal RNA", at positions 355 to 774 of the family's 1533-position model. The record is from RNAcentral.